Molecule: long non-coding RNA, 660 nt
Organism: Drosophila mojavensis
Lineage: Eukaryota; Metazoa; Arthropoda; Insecta; Diptera; Drosophilidae
Exons: 2
Source: RefSeq, a predicted model, not a curated record
AAUAUAUAGGAUAAUCAUAGAUGGGAGUUAUAUGUAGUUCAAAAAUAUUUUCAAUAGCCUUUUCAUUUUGAAAACUUUUGCUUUAAUGUCUAACUGACAACUGAAAAAGUAUAAAUACAAAUUAUUUUUUUACUAUUCGAGCUCCAGUAAAAUUAAGCCCUUGGCAUACGUUUACCAAAGAGACUAAAUAUAACAAUUUAUACCUCUACGCAGUCGUAGCUGCUCUAUAGGAUUCCAUGCUAUGCAUAUAGACAGCCGCAGCAAGUGUGCAUGAUAGCCAGCCUCCUGCUCUUGCCUCAGCUCAUGUUACAAGUGCAGUCAAAGCUAAAUAAAUCAAAUUUUGAAGUGUGAUCUCUGCUGGAAGGAACGAAACGAGAAAAAAUUGAGAAAAAAAUAGAAUGCGACGCUAAGUGCAAAGCGUAACAAGAUCAACAACAUCAUUAGAAGCAUCAACACUGAGAACUGUGAGACUGUGGCUCGCGAUUGGGGAGUUUGUGUAAUUAAUGCGCCACUGAUCCUCUGGGGUAUGCCAAUUGACAUUUAACAUCAACCUGUGGUUGCCCACAGCCCAGGCCGAGGGGAAGCUGAAGAUGAAGCUGAGACUGCAGUUCGAGAAUUCACAUUUUACUUAUGCACGUUUAUAAAAUUUAUCAAGAAACA